This 1024-nucleotide ribosomal RNA is filed under the name Streptomyces malaysiensis subsp. samsunensis. RNAcentral describes it as "bacterial SSU rRNA". It matches the Rfam family "Bacterial small subunit ribosomal RNA", at positions 434 to 1464 of the family's 1533-position model. Lineage: Bacteria; Bacillati; Actinomycetota; Actinomycetes; Kitasatosporales; Streptomycetaceae. The record is from RNAcentral.
UUCAGCAGGGAAGAAGCGUGAGUGACGGUACCUGCAGAAGAAGCGCCCGGGCUAACUACGUGCCAGCAGCCCGCGGUAAUACGUAGGGCGCAAGCGUUGUCCGGAAUUAUUGGGCGUAAAGAGCUCGUAGGCGGCUUGUCGCGUCGGAUGUGAAAGCCCCGGGGCUUAACUCCGGGUCUGCAUUCGAUACGGGCAGGCUAGAGUUCGGUAGGGGAGAUCGGAAUUCCUGGUGUAGCGGUGAAAUGCGCAGAUAUCAGGAGGAACACCGGUGGCGAAGGCGGAUCUCUGGGCCGAUACUGACGCUGAGGAGCGAAAGCGUGGGGAGCGAACAGGAUUAGAUACCCUGGUAGUCCACGCCGUAAACGUUGGGAACUAGGUGUGGGCGACAUUCCACGUUGUCCGUGCCGCAGCUAACGCAUUAAGUUCCCCGCCUGGGGAGUACGGCCGCAAGGCUAAAACUCAAAGGAAUUGACGGGGGCCCGCACAAGCGGCGGAGCAUGUGGCUUAAUUCGACGCAACGCGAAGAACCUUACCAAGGCUUGACAUACACCGGAAAACUCUGGAGACAGGGUCCCCCUUGUGGUCGGUGUACAGGUGGUGCAUGGCUGUCGUCAGCUCGUGUCGUGAGAUGUUGGGUUAAGUCCCGCAACGAGCGCAACCCUUGUCCUGUGUUGCCAGCGGGUUAUGCCGGGGACUCACAGGAGACUGCCGGGGUCAACUCGGAGGAAGGUGGGGACGACGUCAAGUCAUCAUGCCCCUUAUGUCUUGGGCUGCACACGUGCUACAAUGGCCGGUACAAUGAGCUGCGAAGCCGUGAGGUGGAGCGAAUCUCAAAAAGCCGGUCUCAGUUCGGAUUGGGGUCUGCAACUCGACCCCAUGAAGUCGGAGUCGCUAGUAAUCGCAGAUCAGCAUUGCUGCGGUGAAUACGUUCCCGGGCCUUGUACACACCGCCCGUCACGUCACGAAAGUCGGUAACACCCGAAGCCGGUGGCCCAACCCUUGUGGAGGGAGCCGUCGAAAGGGG